CUGGCGGCGUGCCUAACACAUGCAAGUCGAACGAAGCAUACGGACUGGAGAUUCGUCGAAGGACUGUAUGACUUAGUGGCGGACGGGUGAGUAAUGUAUGAGCAACCUGCCUUUCAGAGGGGGACAACAGUUGGAAACGACUGCUAAUACCGCGUAACGUAUCGUGAGGGCAUCCUCGUGAUACCAAAGGAGCAAUCCGCUGAAAGAUGGGCUCAUAUCUGAUUAGCUUGUUGGCGGGUAAGGCCCACCAAGGCGACGAUCAGUAGCCGGACUGAGAGGUUGAACGGCCACAUUGGGACUGAGAUACGGCCCAGACUCCUACGGGAGGCAGCAGUGGGGAAUAUUGGGCAAUGGGCGAAAGCCCUGACCCAGCAACGCCGCGUGAAGGAAGAAGGUCUUCGGAUUGUAAACUUCUUUUAUGAGGGACGAAGGACGUGACGGUACCUCAUGAAUAAGCCACGGCUAACUACGUGCCAGCCGCCGC
RNAcentral lists this ribosomal RNA (484 nucleotides) under uncultured bacterium. RNAcentral describes it as "bacterial SSU rRNA". It matches the Rfam family "Bacterial small subunit ribosomal RNA", at positions 36 to 518 of the family's 1533-position model. The record is from RNAcentral.